GGGUCAGUAGGUUGGUCGUGCCUCCGGUACGUACUGGUCUCACUGAUUCCUCCUUCCUGAAGAACCGUAAUGCCAUUAAUUUGGUGUUGCGGGGAAACAGGACUGUUACUUUGAAAAAAUUAGAGUGUUUAAGGCAAGCUAACGCUUGAAUACAUUAGCAUGGAAUAAUGAAAUAGGACGAUCGAUCCUAUUUUGUUGGUUUCUAGGAUUGACGUA
RNAcentral lists this ribosomal RNA (216 nucleotides) under Glomeromycotina sp. RNAcentral's name for it is "partial small subunit ribosomal RNA". The stretch from base 40 to 216 matches the Rfam family "Eukaryotic small subunit ribosomal RNA", at positions 686 to 864 of the family's 1831-position model. The record is from RNAcentral. Lineage: Eukaryota; Fungi; Glomeromycota.